UUUUUUUUUUUUUUUUUUUUUUUUUUUUUUUUUUUUUUUUUUUCCU
This 46-nucleotide non-coding RNA is filed under the name Alexandrium minutum. The record is from RNAcentral. Lineage: Eukaryota; Dinophyceae; Gonyaulacales; Pyrocystaceae.